This is a non-coding RNA of Meleagris gallopavo (turkey), 2135 nucleotides long. Lineage: Eukaryota; Metazoa; Chordata; Aves; Galliformes; Phasianidae. The record is from RefSeq and is a predicted model, not a curated record.
GAGAAGUAAUUUAUUCUGAUCUGUCAGUCGAGUUAUCUCUACCAUCGAAUAUUCUUUUGGCCUGUAAUGCUGGCUGUGGGAAAAAGUAUUUCAGUGAUUAAUCUGCUUAUGUUGCAAGGCUUCUGCUAAAGCUGUUUGUAAGUAAUGAGCAUCUUUGUGUUGGACUAAGCAUCAAAAUGAUACAGUUGCUUAAAUGUUUGAAGGAAGGUUAGGUCUGGAGUGCAAAAUGAGGCUGGUAAUUUUAAAUCAGAACAUGAGCAAGCUGUAAGAUUUUUAAUUUCUCCUGUAUGUUUUUCUAUACCAGAAUGUGUGCUUCCUUUUAAAUAUAUGUAUGUUCUCUUCUUCCUAGGAACUUUGUUGACAACUCAUUCCCCAACUCCAGUAGCCCCUCAUCCAGUUACUAUGCCCACAUAUCGGGCUCCAGGAACACCAACCUAUAGUUAUGUGCCCCCACAGUGGUGAUCAUCCUGGCAGUCAGUGUUUGAAGAUGGGAGAUAUGCAAUCAAGAAAUUGAGGUUUAAAAGUUGGUGCUGAAGCCCUCAUGCCUCCAACCAGGACUCUUCUUCUGAAUGCUUUCAACACUUGGCUAAACACUACUAAUUCCUGAUCACUGAAGAUUUUCCAGUGCUGCAUAUCUUACAUCUUGGAACUCCAGCAGUUAGUCUUAAAGCAAAUCCUGUUUUGUGGACUGUCUUGCAAUUUUUUAGCUAAUUAUAAUGAUAAAAAGGGAGUAUAAAUUUAUUCUGAUCCAUAUCUAGUUGAAUGCAUGUUAAAACACAAAAACAAAGCUUGCUCAAUCUACCUGCAGUGACUGAUGCAAAAACCAUCAUAUGCAAAUCCAAAGGAACCGAGAAGUAUUUUACAACUUGUAUCACUAAUGCACUGUUGUAAUGUAUGCAGGGUCUUAAAAGGUAGAAUCAUGAAAGUGAGUUUCUUUGUAGACUACCGUAAGAUACAUUAGAUAAGAGCUUCAACCUUUUUUGGGUUGAUGGGAUUGCCAGUUUAAAAGGGGCACUUUUUUUUGUUAAUUUAAGUGAUGUAUUCUUUUCAAAUUCAAAUACUAAAUUGGAGUGACUGGAAAAUGAGGCAGGAAAGCUGUAGGAAUCCCGCACGCCAUUAGUUUACUUCAUACCUUUACGUUUUUGUUACAUGGAUUCAGUGUUAUAGAGCUGUUCUCAAGGAUCAGAAUGAAAUGACGAAGGCAAUGCUGUGUGUGCGAGUAAAUAAAGCAAGCUUCCUUGAGGCAAAACUUGCCGUUAGGAAUAGUAGGAGGCGACCUGUGUAAUGAAUUGCAUGCCCUGGGGAGAUACAUAUCCAGUACUACCUUUCAUACGGUGCAAGAUGGUGUCACAGUGAGACUGCCACACAGACUGAUAGAAUAACACUUCCCUUUAGAUCUCUGUUCAAGAGAUCACGUUGUUUUUCCUAAAGGAUGUUGUAGUCAGUUGCAGACUUAGGUGCAGUUGACCCAGCGUGCUUUCCUGAUGUUUAACAAGUAUUAGGGCUUUCUGUGACAGAUGGGGAGAUCAGCUGUGUGCUAUCCUGAGGAAAGCUGGUGUGCCUGAUGAGUAUAUUAAAGGGGAACAAAUCAUUUUAACACAAUUUCCUUCUUAGCUACUUGCAGUAUGGACUACAGAUAUGCUGUAGUAGGGCUGCCAGAAUACAGAAGUUUCAGAUAGUUCGGUUGUUUCAUUUUUUCCUGAAAAUAUUUGUAAUGGAAGUGGGAGCCAUUCGGUGGUUACAGCGUUUUGAUGUAUUUUUGUAGCAUUUUCCUUUUUUUUUUUAACUUCCUAAAUUGCACUUGGAAGCACGUACAAAUAAGACUGACUGCAGAUUAGCAUUUCGUUGCAAUGAGUCAUUUCUGGUAUUCUUUCUUGCAACUUCAAUUUUUAAAACAGUACCUCAAAGCAAAUGCAGUGGUGAUAAAGGGCUAGCCUUAGAACCCAUUUCUAUACCAAAAUUCUCACCAGGAAGAUUUUAAAUUUUCAAAGUAAAAUGUUGCACAUGAAAUCAAGGUUUUUCUUAGACCUGCUUACUUACAAUUUCAGAAAAAUGCAAUUUUUUUUUAAUAUACAUUCUGCCUGCAAUAAAUUAUGCAGUAAAUGCUAAUAAAAUGUUGUUCCCUUUUAAGCGUU